This 253-nucleotide ribosomal RNA is filed under the name uncultured bacterium. RNAcentral describes it as "partial 16S ribosomal RNA". It matches the Rfam family "Bacterial small subunit ribosomal RNA", at positions 524 to 776 of the family's 1533-position model. The record is from RNAcentral.
UACGGAAGGUCCGGGCGUUAUCCGGAUUUAUUGGGUUUAAAGGGAGCGUAGGCCGCAUGUCAAGCGUGCUGUGAAAUGUCCGGGCUCAACCCGGGCCUUGCAGCGCGAACUGGCGUGCUUGAGUCCGCGGAAAGCAGGCGGAAUUCGUCGUGUAGCGGUGAAAUGCUUAGAUAUGACGAAGAACUCCGAUUGCGAAGGCAGCUUGCGGGAGCGCAACUGACGCUGAAGCUCGAAAGUGCGGGUAUCGAACAGG